GGCCAUUGCUGUGCGCGCGCGCGCGGGCAUGUGCAUGGUUCAGGGAAGAGGCUGCAUUUCACAGAGACUCUGUCCCAGGAGGUAGGCAUUUUUUCUUUUCUUUCUUUCCUUCCUUCCUUCCUCCCUUCCUUCCUUCCUUCCUAACUUCCUUCCUUCCUUUUUCUUUCUCUCUCUUUUCUUUUCUUUCUUUCUUUUUUUUUGACAGAGUCUUGCUCUAUCGCCCAGGCUGGAGUGCAGUGGCGUGAUCUCGGCUUAUUGUAACCUCCACCUCCCAGGUUCAAGCAAUUCUCGUGCCUCAGCCUCCUGAGUACCUGGGACUAGGGGUACGCACCACCACGCCCAGCUAAUUUUUGUAUUUUUAGUAGAGAUGGGGUUUCACCAUGAUGGCCAGGCUGAUUUCGAACUCCUGGCCUUAAGUGAGCCUCCUGCCUCGUUCUCCCAAAGUGCUGGGAUUACAGGCGUGAGCCACCAUGCCCAGCCGGCAUUUUCAUCUGGACUCUGCCAUGGGGCUCAGCAAAUCAGAUGUGACCUGGUGACAGGUGCCAAGAAGGUCUGGCGACCACAGGUUUCUUGUCGGUUUCUGCCUGGGACCCCCGCACCUCCCUACCAGUAUUCCCAACCCAACGAAAGACCGGCCAAGUACAAACCAAGGGCAGCCCUGAAGCCCAGGACCAUGAGGCCUGGAAGGCCCCAGGACAGGUGAUUUGUGGCCCUGGUGUCUCAGGUCAGGAGCAGGGCAGAGCCACCUUCCUCCCUCCCUGUGCGGGGCUGCAUGAGCUCAGGGACCUUUGGACCUGAGAAAGGUCAGGCUCACUUCCUCCCCGUGCCUGCGGUUGGCCGCAGGGGGAAUAUUCUCCUGACCCGAGUCCCGAAGCCCUGGGCGUGGAGUUUCCCUGGACUGGGAGAAAGUAAACACCGAGGGACUUGCCAAGAGGAAAUGGAGAAGCCCAGGUGUUCUGGGCGGAGCUGAGUGUCCCGCAGGGGGUUCCGCAGCUCCUCGCCUCUGGAAGACCAAGGACAGCUUUCCCCAGGGCUACAGCCUCACGCUCCCCUCCCAUCGUGGCUGGGCCUUUACUUGGGGGUGAGUGUCCUACAGACGAGGGGCUUAAAGCUACAGGAAUGCCUCGUCUCGCAGAGCUGGAGGCUGGAAGGCAGAUCGGCCUGUGAGGGCCGCGGUCACUCUUGGUCCUGAGCCCUCCUUGUCCGGCUGCUGGUGUCACGGGCACUCCUUGGGGUUCCUUGGCUUGUGGGAGCAUCGCGCCGGCCCCGCCUCUGUCAUCAGGCCGCCUCCCCUUCUCUUCUCGAAGGACACCUGCUACGGCGAGGGCCUCUCCAGGAUGACCUCAUCUCGUUCUCCACUAAUCACAGCUGCAAAGAUUUAUUUCCAAAUAAAGUCGCCUUCUUGGGUUCCAGGGGACCUGAUUUUGGGAGGCGCUGUUCCCCCAGCACAGGGAUACAGCAGGCCCUUGGCCUCAUCGGACAUCUGGUGCCCGCGCGCCCUCUCACUCACGUUGUCCAGGCCUCUGCCCUUCUCAACACCCGGACGUGGGCGUUCAGGUGUCCUUCCUGCCCUGGCGUAUGCCCCACUUAGCUGAGUGGGGGGCUUAGACCUCCGCCCCAUCUGCAGUCCUCCUGGGGCCUGCCAAUCAGACCCCCUGCAGCUGCAUGGUCUUGGGGCAUUGCUGUAAGGCCCUGGGGCCUUUCUGAAUCCAUCUGCAAGCUGGAGCUGAGUCCAGGAGCUGAGGCCGGGAGCAGGAGGUGAGGUUGCUAGCUGAGGCUGGGAGCAAGAGCUGAGGCCACUGGAGCUGAGGCUGGGAGCUGAGAUGUGGAGCUGGGGCUGAGGCUGGGAGGAGGGGUUGAGGAUACCUGGAGUUUGGGAGCUGGGCUGAGAGGCCAGGGAGGAGAGCCCUGCCACCACCCUGCUGCCCCCCCUCGCCACCCCCCUGCUGCCACCUUGCUGCCACCCUGCCUCCUGUUCCCAGCCCUCUGGCCAGUCCCUGUGUUCGUUUUCUGUUUUCUACUUACCAGAAACUUAGCAGCUUGAAACAGCACCCGCUCGGCACACAUUCCUUUUGGGAGUGUGAAAUGGUGCAGCUGCUGUGGGAAAUGGUCUGGUGAUUCCUCGCAAAGCUAAACAAUUGCCAUAGCACCCUGCAGUUCCACACCUGGGGAUGCACAGCCAGAAAUGAAGACGGGUGUCUGAGCAAAAACUCGGACAUGAGUGUUCACAGCAGCGUUAUUCACAGUAGCUAGAAGGUGGAAACAACCCAAGUGUCCGUGGACCGAGGAACAGAUCAACAGGCCACGGCGCACGCACGACGGAGUAUUGUGCAGCCAGAAAAAGGGUGAAGCUCCCUUACACAUUAUGGCGUGGGUGAGCCUCAGAAACAUGGUGCUAAGUGACUGCGUUUAUAUAAAAAGCUUGCACUGAUGUAAAGUGUCUAGAGUAGAGAAACCCAGGAGAUGAAGUGGAUUCGUGGCUUCCAGGGCCUGAGGGCAGAGGGAAGGGACCGGCUGCUGAUGGGUCUCCGUUUGGGAAGAUGAACGAGUUCUGGAGCUUGCUUGAGGCAGUGUCUGCACAACAGUGUGAGUGCACGGAAUGUGGCUGAAUUGGACUCUUUAAAAUAGUUCAGGUGGGCAAUGUUAUGUUAUGUGUGUUUUACUACCAUACAAAUAAGUAAAUAAAUGGACAAGCCUGCACCAUCUUGUAGCUCACACCUGCAGGUCAGGAGCCGGCCUGGGUCCCCUGCUGGGGCCUCACCUGGGGCUCAGGCCUCCUCCCAGGCUGGUUCAGAAUCCAGGUCCUUGUGGGUGUGGGACUGAGGUCCCCGUUUUCUCGCAGCUGUUGUCAGGGACUGCCCUCAGCUCCUAGGGCUUUCUCUCGGGUCCCUGCCUGGUGGCCUCUGGUGGCCCCUCCAUCUUCAAGCAGCAGGGGCCGGUGGAGUCCCCCCAUGAGUGGCUCUUUCUGGCCAUCCCUUCUGCACCCGCCAGAGGAAACUCCGCUUCUAAAGUGUUGGUGUGAUGAGGUCAGGCCCGGAGGCACCUCCCUGUUUUAAGGUCAGCGGGUUGGUGAACUUCACCAUGCCUUCAGAAUCCCUCUGCCACACAACACAGCCGUCUUGGGAGUAACACUGGAGGCAGAGACCACGGGCGACCUCCAAGAUCUGCUUACAACAGUCGUUUCAACAGAGUUGAGUCAGCUUGGGGCUUCUCCGAGUGACUGUGCACAGGGGUCCUGGGGCUUCUCCGAGUGACUGCGCGCAAGCGUCCUGGGACUUCUCCAAGUGACUGCGCACAGGCAUCCUGGGGCUUCUCCGAGUGACUGCGAACAGGCGUCCUGGGGCUUCUCUGAGCGACUGCGCACAGGCGUCCCUGGGGUCCCUGGGGUUAGGAUGCUGGCGCUGGCUCAGCAGGUCUGGGAAGGGCCAGGAUUCCAGUGCCCAGGCUACCGUCCAGGUCCACACCAUGCCCCAAUGGACGCUCUCCAGCCCCUCCCUGAGGCUGGGGCCAUGGGAUGAGCUCAGUGGCAUCCAGAUCAGAGUCCACCCCCUCCACACCUUGCCAUGGUCCUGAUGUCACCAAGUGCAUUGUAGCCCUAACCCUCGUGGACCCCCCUUCAUGGGGUGGUGCAGGCAGCGUGUUCUCUGAGGGUAAGGACAGGGCCCAACAGGGGCUGCCCCAAGGAGCCAGUGGAGCCAUGGUUCCCCACCUGCCCACUCGUCUGCCCACCCUCCCCUGAGUGGAGGCAGAGGAGCUGAGAACGGCCUGCCGGCCAGCCCUGGGAAAACCAGGUUCCUUAUGGUCUGCUCAGCCAUAGAGCCGGAGGCCCCUCCCAGCAGCCCCUGCCUGCCCACUCUGCCAGAGCUUCUCCAUGCAACUUUUCUGCAGCAUAGUCCUGUUGCACAAACACCUCUCUCUGCUUUUUCCUUUCUUUUUUUUUUUUUUAAUUUAACCAUAUCUGCUGUAUCAUACAAGCACUCAGGAUCUUGGUUGCAAUGAAUGGAAACCUAUGCUAAAUAACUUUCUCAGAGGGCUCUUGGGGCUCUGGAAACCAGACAGAAGGCUGGAGAAUGAGGGCUGGGCAUAGGCAGGUCCAGGGAGGCCAAGAGGGCAGCCUGGCUGUGAGGCAGCUGCUGGUACAGCCCAGACUGUCCCUGCUUCUGGGUCACUUGCUCCAGACCCAAAGUUCUGCCCAGGAAUGUCUGGUGGUCAAACUCCAGCCAUGUGGCUCCCUCUUUUCAGAGGUGAACUCAGUCUUCACUGAUAAGGGUAAGGUUCCUGGUGAAUCCUGCAGCUUGAAUGUCCAUCCCCAUGAAUCCGAGCUGAGCCUGCAGGGCUCCCAGCCCCAGGCCUCCACGGAGAGGAGAUGAGCCAGCCCUGCUGAGCCCUGCCCAAACUGCACAUGCGUGAGUUAAAGAAACGGCUAUUACUGUUUAAAGCCAUGCAGUGUUGGGCUGGUUUGUUAAAUUGAAAUAGAUUACCCAGGCUAGGUGCAGUGGCUCACACCUGUAAUCCCAGCAUUUUGGGAGGCUGAGGCGGGUGGAUCAAUUGAGGUCAGGAGUUUGAGACCAGCCUGGCCAACAUGGUGAAACCCCAUCUCUACCGAAAACUAUAAAAAAUUAGUUGGUAUGGUGGCAUGCACCUGUAAUCCGAGCUACUUGGGAGGCUGAGGCAGGAGAAUCACUUGAACCAGGAGGUAGAGGUUGUAGUGAGCCGAGAUCGUGCCACUGCACUCCAACCCCAGUGACAGAGUGAGACUGUCUCAAACAAACAAAAAUCACCCAACACCACAGAUGAUCAUCAAGUUCAUGAAGACGGACCUUCAGUUUGCAGGGGCUGUGUGUCCAUUUCAUUGGCUUGGGUCUCCUUUUUUAUCCUCAAGGGACUCCCAGGUGUUCCGAUGCCCUGGCACUGAGGACUCAGGCCAUGCCCUGGCCCACACCCUGCCCUGCAUGUGUUGCAGCCUGAAGUGGUCCACUGGGCCUGGCAUGUCUCAAAAGCCAAAAGGGAACAAUGCUUCCCGGCUCCACAUUCAGUGACAGCACGUCAGCAGCUGGAAGCCAGCAUCAGUGGGGGUGUUUACACCAUGGGAAUGGGCCCACUCCACAGACUAGCGCUGUACCAAGAGAGCCAGUUUGGUUUCUGGGGGUCGUGGGGUUAGGUCCUCAUGCUUCUCUCGGACCCACCCCCUAGAAAUGUCCCCACCCAACCCCCACUGUAGCCUGGAUGGACGGGGAUGAGCUCUGCGGGGCUCCCGCCUGAGCCAUCUUGUCUUCAGCUGCGUUUGGGCUCUGAGCUCCAGCCAUGCUGGCUCCAUGACCCAGGAUGGGAUUCAUGCACUAACGUGAAGAGAGCAAUCUCCUGAACAGAGGAAGGAGUGGGCCCUGGAGGAGCCGUGGCCCUGGGUGGUGGCACCAGGCAGCUGCAGGACCAGGGGCAGCGGUGAGGCACGAAGCCUCAGACUGGGUGUGGUUCCCACUCGUUCUUGCCGGAGAAACCUGCCUUUUCAAGCAUAAUUCAAUCAAAAGGCCUUUUGUGGAGCCCAAACUAGAAGGCUUUGGGUUCCAGCACUGUGCCUCAGUUUCCUCAUCUGGAGCAUAAGGAUGGGACCGUCACUGGGUGUAGAUGUGGGGUCCCGGGAGGCGUGCAAGGGCCAUGUUUGGGCAGGUGCCUGGAAUGGAGGAGGCCUUGGUAAGUAAGCAUUCAUGAGCGAACCUCCCCUCUGCCGGCUCACAUGUCCCACUCCCUCACAUGUGGGCCAGUGUGUUGUCACCCUCUCUGCAGUGAGGAAACUGAGGCCCAGCCCAACGGCAGAGCCAGCCCAGCUGUCUGGGCAGCCCGACUCCAGAGCCGGGCAGGGAAUUGCCUCCUUUCACGUUCAGGGUGACUAUGCCAGUGCUCACAGUGACGGGUGGGCCGGGGCCAGCUGGCCUAGGGUCUGCCUUGCCAUCUGGCGACACCAUAUCGCUCUUCCAUCCUGGCAUUUGGAUUUUGUUACCAACAGCUUCACCAAACCGCCUUUCAUGACACCCAGGACAGCCACGAGGCUGCCCCUGCCCCUGCCCUGCCUCAGUGGGACUCACAGCAGCUCAGAGGCUGGAGGGAGGUCUGGAAGCCCCUAGUGCUCAGUAGAGCAGUGAGAUGGGAGAGAAGCAGCUGGGGAAGGAGGCCAGGUGAGCCUGGUGGGAGGCCUCUCAGUUUCUGCACACUUGGGAACAUUCCAGAGUGACUGGCAUUUCCCAUGACUUUCUCUGGGAUGAAGUGAGGCUGAGAAUGUGAAGUUCCCAAGGGUUACAGACGCUUACUGUUGCAGACACAAAUGACUACGCAUUCCAUCACGGGACAGUUUUCCUUUGGAAAGAGAAUGACCCAAUUUCCUUUUUUUCUAAAACUUAAGUCAUUCUGCCAAAUUUCAACAUCCUAAUUUUAAAUCACUGGUAGAACCUCGAUCCUGAAGUCUAUCUUGGCCUCACUACAAGACCCCCAAAGAGCCGUCAUCCCUGAUAAGGUGGUUUUAAGUUUUAGUGAUUGUUAUUUUGCAAUUCUUAGAUUUUAUUCACAAAAUCCACGUGGACUCAAUUCUAGCUCAAGCCAUCUCCAUGUCCCCGGCCACCACUGCCUGCCUGCCCUUCCCUGUUUAUGGGUCUUUGUUUGGAGUCACCUCUUGUUUGCCUCAAAUAAUUAAUUUUGAGUUGCUUUUUCGGGAAGGAAAUGUUCUUGGUGCAAUUUCUGGCCUCUAUGUAGCUGAGAAUGUUUUUUCUGUUGCCUGGACUGGUGCAGCGGGUCUCCCUAUAGUGACCCGGCCAAGCACAGAAGUCUGGGUUUGCAGCUGUGAGACUCCAGACAUCACCCCAUGGUCUCCUGGCGUUGGUGGGUUUGCAGCCAUGAAGCUCCAGCUGUCGCCCCAUGGUCUCCUGGCAUUGGUGGGUUUGCAGCCAUGAAGCUCCAGCUGUCGCCCUGUGGUCUCCGUGGUCUCCUGGCACAGGAUGCUGCUGGGCUACUCAGUUUCUCUCUGUGCUUGUCUGGUGUUUUAUGCUUGAAGUGGAAGAUUUCCACCAGAUUCAUUUUCAUUAAUUUUGCUUGUCCCCGUGAGCCGUUUGAUUAAAUAGAUUCAGAUCUGUCUUCAUUCUAGAAGUUCCUUCUCUUACAUACUCUAUGGCUGCACCGUUCCGGUUGUUCGAGUUUCUUUAUCUGGAAAAUUGCUCCUUCGCCCAGCAGGUUUCUGGCUUCCGUCCUCCAUGUCUGCUUUCUCUCUCCUCAUCUCUGCCUUCCUCCUCCCUGGGGCAUGGGGUGUGGGGCGUGGGGCUGCCGCCGCCUGUGUCUCGGCCUCCUGGUCCGGCUCUGUGCUUGUGGGUGCUGUUCCUUCAGCUCCCAGUGCCUUGAAAGCUGCCGCUGGGUCUCUCCUGAGAUCACCUCCUCACACCUGCCCUCAGCUAAUUCAUGCCCAUCCACCAGCUCCUGUUCCAUUCCCGUCUGUUUCAUCUGAUGUCCCACCAGCUCCUGUUCCAUUCCCAUAUAUUUCCUCUCACCAGCUCCUGUUCCAUCCGCAUCUAUUUCAUCUAUUUCAUCUGACUCCUCACCACCUCCUGUUCCAUUCCUGUCUAUUUCAUCUGACGUCUCACCAGCUCCUGUUCCAUUCCCGUCUAUUUCAUCUGAUGUCUCACCAGCUCCUGUUCCAUCCUUGUCUAUUUCAUCUGAUUUCUCACCAGCUCCUGUUCCAUCCCUGUCUAUUUCAUCUAUUUCAUCUGACUUCUCACCAGCUCCUGCUCCAUUCCCGUCUAUUUCAUCUGAUGUCUCACCAGCUCCUGUUCCAUCCCCGUCUAUGUCAUCUGACUUCUCACCAGCUCCUGUUCCAUCCCCGUCUAUUUCAUCUGACAUCUCACCAGCUCCUGUUCCAUUCCCGUCUAUUUCAUCUGAUGUCUCACCAGCUCCUGUUCCAUCCCCGUCUAUUUCAUCUGAUGUCUCACCAGCUCCUGUUCCAUCCCCGUCUAUUUCAUCUGAUGUCUCACCAGCUCCUGUUCCAUCCCCAGCUAUUUCAUCUAUUUCAUCUAACAUCUCACCAGCUCCUGUUCCAUCCCCAGCUAUUUCAUCUAUUUCAUCUAUUUCAUCUAACGUCUCACCAGCUCCUGUUCCAUUCCCGUCUAUUCAUCUGACUCCUCACCAGCUCCUGUUCCAUCCCCAUCUAUUUCAACUAUUUCAUCUGACGUCUCACCAGCUCCUGUUCCAUCCUUGUCUAUUUCAUCUGAUGUCUCACCAGCUCCUGUUCCAUCCCCAGCUAUUUCAUCUAUUUCAUCUAUUUCAUCUGACAUCUCACCAGCUCCUGUUCCAUCCCCAGCUAUUUCAUCUAUUUCAUCUGACAUCUCACCAGCUCCUGUUCCAUUCCCAUCUAUUUCAUCUGACAUCUCACCAGCUCCUGUUCCAUCCCCAGCUAUUUCAUCUAUUUCAUCUAUUUCAUCUGACAUCUCACCAGCUCCUGUUCCAUCCCCAGCUAUUUCAUCUAUUUCAUCUGACGUCUCACCAGCUCCUGUUCCAUUCCCAUCUAUUUCAUCUAUUUCAUCUGACAUCUCGCCAGCUCCUGUUCCAUUCCCAUCUAUUUCAUCUGACAUCUCACCAGCUCCUGUUCCAUUCCCAUCUAUUUCAUCUGACAUCUCACCAGCUCCUGUUCCAUCCCUGUCUAUUCCCGUCUAUUUCAUCUGACAUCUCACCAGCUCCUGUUCCAUCCUCGUCUAUUUCAUCUGACCUCUCACCAGCUCCUGUUCCAUUCCUAUUUCAUCUGACAUCUCACCAGCUCCUGUUCCAUUCCCAUCUAUUUCAUCUGACAUCUCACCAGCUCCUGUUCCAUCCCUGUCUAUUCCCGUCUAUUUCAUCUGACAUCUCACCAGCUCCUGUUCCAUCCUCGUCUAUUUCAUCUGACCUCUCACCAGCUCCUGUUCCAUUCCUAUUUCAUCUGACAUCUCACCAGCUCCUGUUCUAUUCCUGUCUAUUUCAUCUAUUUCAUCUGAUGUGUCACCAGCUCCUGUUCCAUUCCCGUCUAUUUCAUCUGAUGUCUCACCAGCUCCUGUUCCAUCCCCAUCUAUUUCAUCUGAUGUCUCACCAGCUCCUGUUCUAUUCCUGUCUAUUUCAUCUGCCAUCUCACCAGCUCCUGUUCCAUCCCCGUCUAUUUCAUCUGACGUCUCACCAGCUCCUGUUCCAUUCCCAUCUAUUUCAUCUGACAUCUCACCAGCUCCUGUUCCAUUCCCAUCUAUUUCAUCUGACAUCUCACCAGCUCCUGUUCCAUUCCCAUCUAUUUCAUCUGACAUCUCAGCACCCAGUGCCUACACUUAAUGAUUUCCUGAAUUUUUCCAGUGAAACUAGCGCCUAAAUGUAUUCUUUCUUCCUUCAGAAAGUGUUUUUAAUCCGCAGGUUGAGUACUGUGUUUUCCUGAUUUGAUAAAACAGAAUAUUUUUAUAGCUCUGCCAGUUUUCCUUUUCUUCCUCAUGAAUAAUCAGUGUGAUUCAGCUGGGACUUUCCCUGUUGAACAGGGAGAGUGGGUUUUUCCAGCCUCUCCUCCUUUUCACUCCGCUGUGGUUGAACUCCUACUUACUCUUUCGGCAGAUGGUGUUUGCCAAGUUAGUUUUGCAGCUGCCUGGGGGUACUGGGGUGGAAGCAGCCCCGGGAAACCCCAUGGGGGACUUUGUGUCUUUUACUCCAUCACAGCGAAGCCACGGGGCUGGGCCAGGCCCUGCCCUUUGGGAACGGGCUCCUCCGGUGCUGGCCUUGGCCUUGGCCCCACUUCAUCCUGGCCCCUGCCCAGGCUUCCAGCCCCUGCCCACAGCUGCCCCCUCCAGGGGCUGCCACUGUCCAGGUCAGGGAAGGCUCUUCCUACCUGGGGAGAGGACGCCCUGGCCAGGAACUGUCCCUCAGCUUUCUGUGGUCUCUGUGUCCCCCGUGCCCUCCGGGUGCCCUGCUGGGGCCCUGCCUCCCCUUGUCGCUCAGCCUUCAUGGUAGGGGCUGCGGGUCCCAGCGCCCCUCCUCCUCCUGGUCACUCACCUCCCACUGAAGCAGCCCCGUCCGCACCAGUGUCUGGGAAACCCCAGUGAGGCCCCUCCCUGCCAGACCCCAGGUGUGGGGGCUUCUGCUCCACCUGCUGCAUCUGCCACGGGGCCCUUUGGAGAAAGUGUUUUACCCAAAGAGGCGAGUCCUGGUGAUGCUGGAGCCUGGCCCUCAUUGCUGUCAGCCCCCAGCACCUGGUACAAAGGCCACUCAUCCCAGUCUCUGAGCCCUGAAGACAGCGGAGGGCAGCCUGAGACACAGGACCCUCUCCCACCAGCUCCAGGGGCCAAUGCCAGCCUGGCCAGCGGCCGGGACCAGCACAGAGGCUGUGGAUGGGGAGGGUGGUGCUGGAGGCAGGGGGCAUGCUGGCGGUCUUUUGGGGGUGGUGGACAGCCCCACACCCUGCUUGCAAUGGUGCGUCAGGCAGUGGCCCCUGGUGCCGGCUGCUUCCCCAGCAGUGACCUUGGCUUCUCUUCUGCAAGCCCCUGCCUGCCCCGAGAUGCCAAGCCCCAGGAUCCACCAGAACUGCCCUCGCUGCCUAUGGCCCCGAGCGCCCACCCUCGGGGCUGGACCUUUGCAGGAGGACAAGCCAUGCCGGCCUCAACUAGCGGAGACCUCUGUGGCCACCUACGGGUCCUCUGCACUGUGCGUGGGGCAGUGGGGACGGAGCUUCCUGCCCCCCGGGGCCUGCUCUGCUCCUGCUCCUUGGACCUGGAGGAGCCAUAUCCACACAGACAUGCACGACAAAUGCGGCUGCAGACACGCGUGAUGAAUGCAGCAUGACAAGCCAGACCCAGGAUGGUGCCUCUCCCCGGACAGGAGCACUGGCCCGAGCCUGGCCCUGGGUGAGCUGCACAGCCGUUCCCUGCCUCGAUUUCCCAUCUGAAAUCAGAGCACUCCCUCCACAGGCUGGCGCGAGGACUAAGAUCGGGGUAGACCCGUGACCCUAGGGGAGGGUCCCCACAGGCAUGAGCUCCUUGGCUUUGUUUCACGACGAUCGUGAACACCAAGCAGGCGUAAAGCAUCCCGCAGCGUUUAGGCCCUACCAGAGCAUAGCCUUGGCUGAUGUGGUCCUCACCCACCGUGCCUGGCAUGACAUCUGCCGGCCUAUGCUGAGAGGCCGAGAAAGGAUGAGGGGUGGGGAGGGUAUUCUCUGCAUCUGCCCUCCUGUCCACGGGACACCGGGCCCUGACCUCUGACAGAGGUGAGCAUGGGUCCCAGGUGGGCCCAUCCGAAGCCUGCCUCAGGAGUGUGAAUCUGUGGCUAGGGCCACUUUCCCAGGACACCUGGACAUCAGCUGGCUGAGGUCCCCACCCCUGGAGGCUGGAUCAGAGGGGGCCAGAGGGGAAGGAGGCAGUGUCCAGCCCCUGAGAGGAGCAGGGAGGAGGGAUGAGGCCAGAGUCCGAGGCUGGCGGGCCACCCGGGGGCCACUGCUCCAGGCCUGGUUUGGGAUCACAGAUCACCCUGCUGACACGCUCCCUGUCAGCAUCUGCACGGAGGAGUUUGCUGGCUGUGGCCUGCAGCCCACACAUCCCAACCACAGACACGCUCUUUCCCCACCUUUUGGUCCCUCUAACAACUCAAUGCCCAGAACUUUCUAUUGCCCAGGACUCUCAGGGUCCCUUCGGAGGCCGGACAGACCCUCCCCUCCCCAGGCCUUCGUGCAGCCCCUGCUGCAUGCCAGGCCCACCUUGGUGAGGCUGUGUCGGGCUGAGCUCCUGGUCAUUCUGCAGCUGGCUGGGCCCAGCUCCCUUUCCAGUUGCCCUCAGGCCACCCAGGAGCAGCUGCGUAAGGAUUGCUAAGCCUGAGUUAUCUGCAUCUUUCUUCUUUCACUAAUUUCUUUCUUUUUUUUUUUUUUUUGAGACAGAGUCUCACUCUGUCACCCAGGCUGGAGUGAAGUGGCGUGAUCUCGGCUCACUGCAACCUCUGCCUCCCGGGUUCAAGUGAUUCUCCUGCCUCAGCCUCCCAAGUACCUGGGAUUACAGGCACCCGUCAACACACCUGGCUAAUUUUUGUAUUUUUAGUAGAGACGGGGUUUCACUAUGUUGGCCAGGCUGGUCUCAAACUCCUGACCUCAGGUGAUCCACCCGCCUCGGCCUCCCAAAGUGCUGGGAUUACAGGUGCGAGCCACUGCUCCUUGUCCACUAAUUUCUUUUUCAUGCUGAUAGAUGUCCUGUUCCUGAACCAUCUUUGCAUUUCUAAAAUAAACCACCUGCUUGGGGGUGGUGUGUGAUGAUUUUGACACAUUGGUAGUAUAUUUUUGCUAAUAUUUUAUCCAAACUGUUUGCAUCUAUAGGUACAAGCAACAUAGCUUUAUCAUUUUAUAUGCUCCCCCCCACCACCUUUUUUUGUUUUGAAAUGGAGUUUCGCUCCUUUUGCCCAGUCUGGAGUGAAGUGGUGCAAUCUUGGCUAACCGCAACCUCUGCCUCCCAGGUUCAAGUAAUUCUCCUGCCUCAGCCUCCUGAGUAGCUGGGAUUACAGGCACAUGCCACCACACCUGGCUAAUUUUGUAUUUUUAGUAGUGACAGGGUUUCUCCAUGUUGGUCAGGCUGGUCUCAAACUCCUGACCUCAGCUGAUCCACCCGCCUCGGCCUCCCAAAGUGCUGGGAUUACAGGCUUGAGCCACCGCACCUGGCCCUAUAUGCUCCCUUGACAAAAGCUAUGCCUUCAUAAAUAGGAGGUUUCCCAUCUUUUUCUGUGGCCUAGAAAAGUUAGAAUUAUCUUUUUAAAGGUUAAAUAAAAUUCAACUGGUCUGCACUUUCCUUAAAGAUAAAUAUCCAUCACCUUUCUAAUUUCUCCUGUGGAAGGCGGACUAUUCGAAUAUUCCAGUUCUUCUAGGAUUGAGUUUGGUGAUUUCUAUUCUGCUGGAAAAGCAGCCCUCUCUGUUUUCAUGGGGAUGGACUUGACUGUCUUCAUCAGUCCCAAAAGUCCCAGGGUGGACACUGCUGCCCAGCCUGGGUGAGAUGCUCACCUUCAGCCACGUCUCGGGACAGGAGCUGGGGCAGGCACCAGCCUGGGUCCAAGGUCUCCCGGGACCAGCCUAGGUGGCCACGUGGCCGCCCUGCAGGAAGGAUGGCUCUCCCUUGUGGUGCUGGGGAGGUGACUUCCAUGACAGCGACUGUCACGGACACUUCUGGGAGAGAUGAGAAGGGAACAGAUGAUUUUGGAGCCGUUCAGGUUUCACACACGGUUUUAGUCCCAACAUUGCAGUCCUCAUCGGCAAACGUGAUCCCUCCCCCACCGCGUUGGAACAUUCUGUACCAGGUUGUAUCUUAUUGUUUGAAAACAAGUUCUGCUAGUUAAUUGGUUCGGGAGCAGCACGGGUAAGUAACCUCCCCAUCUUCCCAACUUGGAAUGUCUGCCUCUUUGUAGAUGUAUCAUUGUUGAUAGGCUUUUUAUUAAAGUUAAAUUCCCUUUAUGUUUUUAACGUUUGAUUAUAAUUUAAUGUCUUCAUUUUUCUUUUUAAGCAUUUCAAAUACCUGACAGGAAACAUUUGCAAAACAGACAGCCAGACUUGUCAAACACUUAAAUUACUCUUAUCCUUUUAAUAAAUCAAGCUCAUAGCAAACCAAAUGCACUUAAACAUUCUAAUAGCUUCACAAACUUAGUUACUGAACAUCUCCCAGCUUAAAGUUAUAACUCUAAUAGAAAUAAUACAUUAUCCCUAAACUGUACUUUAAAAAUGACUAUGCACUUUGGGAAGCUGAGGCAGUGGGUCACUUGAGACCAGCCUGGGCAACGUGGUGAAACCCCGUCUCUACUGAAAAUACAAAAAGUAGCCGGGUGCCUGUAGUCUCAGCUAGUUGGGAAGCUGAGGUGAGAGAAUCACUUGAGCCCAAGAAGUUGAGGCUGUAGUGAGUAGUGAUCACACCACUGCACUCCAGUCUGGGCAAUGGGAAUGAGACCCUGUCUCAAAAUAGUAAUAAUAAUAAUAAUAAUAAUAAUAAAUAAUGACUGAUACAAAGAGUUGGCUCACUGAAUUAUUUCUAGUAAAUUUUUGUUUGUUUCUAUAUAGUAUGGUUUAUUGCUGACUUUGACAUAUCUGUAAAGAAUUUAACAUUUUGGCCAGG
This 14102-nucleotide long non-coding RNA is filed under the name Homo sapiens (human). RNAcentral's name for it is "non-protein coding lnc-PWP2-1:6". The record is from RNAcentral. Lineage: Eukaryota; Metazoa; Chordata; Mammalia; Primates; Hominidae.